RNAcentral lists this ribosomal RNA (253 nucleotides) under uncultured bacterium. RNAcentral's name for it is "partial 16S ribosomal RNA". It matches the Rfam family "Bacterial small subunit ribosomal RNA", at positions 524 to 776 of the family's 1533-position model. The record is from RNAcentral.
UACGUAGGGGGCGAGCGUUGUCCGGAAUUAUUGGGCGUAAAGAGCGUGUAGGCGGUCCGGUAAGUCGGCUGUGAAAGUCCAGGGCUCAACCCUGGGAUGCCGGUCGAUACUGCCGGACUAGAGUUCGGAAGAGGCGAGUGGAAUUCCCGGUGUAGUGGUGGAAUGCGUAGAGAUCGGGAGGAACACCAGUGGCGAAGGCGGCGACCUGGGCCUGGGCUGACGCUGAGGCGCGAAAGCGUGGGGAGCGAUCCGG